Scylla paramamosain (green mud crab) is the source of this 927-nucleotide long non-coding RNA. RefSeq lists it as uncharacterized. Lineage: Eukaryota; Metazoa; Arthropoda; Malacostraca; Decapoda; Portunidae. The record is from RefSeq and is a predicted model, not a curated record. The transcript is spliced from 3 exons.
UCAGGGAGGGAGGUAAAGCCGGCAGUCUAUCUGUGGUAUAGCAGCCGCACACACUUUGUUGGAUUUAAACCUGUGGAUUUAUUCCCUGUGAGCGCCAGAGAUUGUUGGACCGUUCACCCUCACGUUCACCCUCACGUUCACCAUAUGGGACAAGUAAACACACACAAGAAUGAACGAGUGUCAAUAACCUGGCGUAAUAAUAUACCAAGAAGAAAUACCCUUGUCUAACGCCCCUGAGUGGGUGUUAUAGUCUUUUAAAAUAAAGCAACACAUCAGAACACAUCUGUAAGAAAAAACAAACAUUAGUAUUGUCCCUUUCUACCCUUCUCACUUAUCAACAUUCAUUUGACUAUCAACUCAGAACAAGAGGGAUUAUAACAGGACGGUGGUGGAGCUUUUAAAAGGUACGAGGAAGAAGACUGAAACACGAGACUCGUACAUAAGGAAGAAGAGUGAUGAAUAUCCAAGUAGAGGGCAGGAGAGGAAGAAGACACAAGCGAAGGAAGAUGGACUGCAUAAAGGAAGCUUGAGAGGAAGGUAACGGUCACAGGAGGAUGCAUAGUGUACUGCCGAGCUGCUUGGAGGAGAACUUGGAUCAAAUACCCACGCCCCAUGAAGUGACAACACGUGGAGGAGUCAGCUCACCAUUGUUUCCAGGUCCAGGUGUGCGGGAGUGUUGGUGACUGAGGCACUCACAUGGAUGACCUGGUCUGUCUUGGCGAGCGCUCCCUUCAGUGUGGCGGAGUCCGGGUCAGCGCGCCACAGACUGAGGUACCUGUCGGGAACCAGCAAAUUUAAAUAUAGCGAAACAAAAAAAACAAAAAAAAACUGAAAUAAACAAAACCUUAGAUUGGAAAAAAAGCAUUAUGAUAUUUUUCGAUUAUUUUGAAGCAGUUAAUGAAGAGAAAUCACUAGAAAUUAAAGAGA